GGGGAAUAUUGCACAAUGGGGGAAACCCUGAUGCAGCGACGCCGCGUGGAGGAAGAAGGUCUUCGGAUUGUAAACUCCUGUUGUUGAGGAAGAUAAUGACGGUACUCAACAAGGAAGUGACGGCUAACUACGUGCCAGCAGCCGCGGUAAAACGUAGGUCACAAGCGUUGUCCGGAAUUACUGGGUGUAAAGGGAGCGCAGGCGGGAAGACAAGUUGGAAGUGAAAUCCAUGGGCUCAACCCAUGAACUGCUUUCAAAACUGUUUUUCUUGAGUAGUGCAGAGGUAGGCGGAAUUCCCGGUGUAGCGGUGGAAUGCGUAGAUAUCGGGAGGAACACCAGUGGCGAAGGCGGCCUACUGGGCACCAACUGACGCUGAGGCUCGAAAGUGUGGGUAGCAAACAGGAUUAGAUACCCUGGUAGUCCACACUGUAAACGAUGAUUACUAGGUGUUGGAGGAUUGACCCCUUCAGUGCCGCAGUUAACACAAUAAGUAAUCCACCUGGGGAGUACGACCGCAAGGUUGAAACUCAAAGGAAUUGACGGGGGCCCGCACAAGCAGUGGAGUAUGUGGUUUAAUUCGACGCAACGCGAAGAACCUUACCAAGUCUUGACAUCCUGCGACGGUGCUGGAAACAGUGCUUUCCUUCGGGACGCAGAGACAGGUGGUGCAUGGUUGUCGUCAGCUCGUGUCGUGAGAUGUUGGGUUAAGUCCCGCAACGAGCGCAACCCUUAUGGUCAGUUACUACGCAAGAGGACUCUGGCCAGACUGCCGUUGACAAAACGGAGGAAGGUGGGGAUGACGUCAAAUCAUCAUGCCCUUUAUGACUUGGGCUACACACGUACUACAAUGGCGUUAAACAAAGAGAAGCAAGACCGCGAGGUGGAGCAAAACUCAGAAACAACGUCCCAGUUCGGACUGCAGGCUGCAACUCGCCUGCACGAAGUCGGAAUUGCUAGUAAUCGCAGAUCAGCAUGCUGCGGUGAAUACGUUCCCG
RNAcentral lists this ribosomal RNA (995 nucleotides) under uncultured bacterium. Its description in RNAcentral is "bacterial SSU rRNA". It matches the Rfam family "Bacterial small subunit ribosomal RNA", at positions 356 to 1376 of the family's 1533-position model. The record is from RNAcentral.